Molecule: long non-coding RNA, 1564 nt
Organism: Oncorhynchus nerka (sockeye salmon)
Lineage: Eukaryota; Metazoa; Chordata; Actinopteri; Salmoniformes; Salmonidae
Exons: 4
Source: RefSeq, a predicted model, not a curated record
GUCAGAACUAGGAAACUCGGAAAUGUCCGACUUGCUAACGGACUGUAGUUAUACUCGUGCCGUGUUUAACGAAUCAACAAGUAGGACAUUUCCAAGUAUCCCAAUUCCGACUGGUACAUGAAUACGGCAUAAUCACGCUUUGUAAGUGAUCCCGUACGUCAUCAAUUUCCUAAUUGCCUCAGGGCAGUCUCUCAACUAAGGGAUUAGACCCGGAUACAGGUCGAGGUUCUUUAUAUUUGUCUUAAACUGUCUGCAAGCUUUUUUUUGUCUGGGCAUUGCAAUGCAGGUGCCACAGUGACCUCUGACCUGUGGCUCUGAUGACAGUGGUGACCCUGACUGGCGAGUGGGUGAUGUCAUAAUAGAGAGACUACUGCAGGGAUGCUGCAUGUGCAGGCUCAGAACAACAUCAAGAGCUCCAGACCACAGCUAAAACUGCUCAUACACAGAUAUUUGUCACAGUUGUGAUGUCCCCAGGCAUAGGCAUCUUCUUCUGGACUCUGAGGUCUACCAGAGAAUCCAGGGCAGGAGAGAAACAACCACAGACCCUCGCCAGUCCAACACCUUCCACCUGAUACAGGAGGUGCUGGAGGAAGACUGUAGAAACGUCAAGAUCAAAGAGGGGCAUCACAGGAUUGGAGAAGCCUUACCAAGACCCAGAUCCUUCUAUCAGAACUACAACACAGCAACCAUGGUUCUAACCUUAAGAGAAAUCUAACAUACUACUACCACCACCACCAUCUCCCCACAGAAUAGACACAUUUUACAAUGAUAACUCACAGGCUACUUGUUGUCGGACCAAACCCAGGACACAUGAUGUGCUUUACUUGUGCUUGAGAGGGGACAAACUUGUCAAAUGCCUUUAUUGGUGUAUUAUAUUUGUGUGCAGUAGGGGGCAACCUCUACACAUUUGCUGCCUGAGUUAGUUUACUCAAAGUGUGUAUGUAAGAUCUUAUUAUGAUCAAACUACAUAAUUUAAUUAUGUGUAACCAUACUAUGCAUUUAUUGUAGAUAUUGGGCUGUUAUAUCACAUUGUUACGUAAGUGGUGAUAAGUUGAAAUAGAAUGUUAUUAUGUAAAUCAACAUUAAAGUGAGACAUUUGCAUGAGAUAUAUAAGUGUUAAGGGGAUUUUUAUUAAUGAUGACUAAUUAUGUAUACAUUUCAAUCAGGACUGACUAAUCAGAAUACUAUUAUGUUACUGUAUAUGUACUAAUCAGAAUACUAUUAUGUUACUGUAUAUGUAUGAAUUUUCUUUUUAAUCCUAGUACUGAAUAUAAUGUGUGUAAAUAUAAUCAAGAAUUAGAACAAUGACUGUCUGUACCAUGGUAGAAAUGAAUUAACUUAUAGUCAGUCUGGCUAGAAGGCUUAUCUACACAAGCAUGGCCUUGGCUCGGUCAUAUAUUAUCUUAAAUAGGGAGAGACAUGUGAGAACCAUACAGCCAUUGUACUACAGCGGAGAUGACAUGGGCUAGUACUGACACUAAUGACGUCAUUUUCAGUUUAUAACCUGUGGUAAAAUGUGUAAUGGGCAGUACUCUCGUGAAUAAAAGCUGCUGUUUGACUUUAA